UACCUACGGGACGCAGCAGUAGGGAAUCUUCCACAAUGGGCGAAAGCCUGAUGGAGCAACGCCGCGUGGGUGAAGAAGGUCUUCGGAUCGUAAAACCCUGUUGUUAGAGAAGAAAGUGCGUGAGAGUAACUGUUCACGUUUCGACGGUAUCUAACCAGAAAGCCACGGCUAACUACGUGCCAGCAGCCGCGGUAAUACGUAGGUGGCAAGCGUUAUCCGGAUUUAUUGGGCGUAAAGGAAACGCAGGCGGACUUUUAGGUCUGAAGCGGAGGCCUUCGGCUUAACCGGAG
RNAcentral lists this ribosomal RNA (290 nucleotides) under uncultured bacterium. Its description in RNAcentral is "partial 16S ribosomal RNA". It matches the Rfam family "Bacterial small subunit ribosomal RNA", at positions 335 to 618 of the family's 1533-position model. The record is from RNAcentral.